GUUCCUCGGGGACAUCCAAUAAAAUUGGAACGAUUGAGUGAAUAUUAGCAUGGGCCAUAGCAAGGAUCACACACAAAAAUCGAGAAAUUGUAACUUAUACU
Molecule: small nuclear RNA, 101 nt
Organism: Salvia hispanica
Lineage: Eukaryota; Viridiplantae; Streptophyta; Magnoliopsida; Lamiales; Lamiaceae
Source: RefSeq, a predicted model, not a curated record